GAUGAAGAACGUAGCGAAAUGCGAUAAGUAAUGUGAAUUGCAGAAUUCAGUGAAUCAUCGAAUCUUUGAACGCACAUUGCGCCCGCCAGUAUUCUGGCGGGCAUGCCUGUUCGAGCGUCAUUACAACCCUCAGGCCCCCGGGCCUGGCGUUGGGGAUCGGCGGAAGCCCCCUGCGGGCACAACGCCGUCCCCCAAAUACAGUGGCGGUCCCGCCGCAGCUUCCAUUGCGUAGUAGCUAACACCUCGCAACUGGAGAGCGGCGCGGCCACGCCGAAAAACACCCAACUUCUGAAUGUUGACCUCGAAUCAGGUAGGAAUACCCGCUGAACUUAAGCAUAUCAAUAAGCGGAGGA
RNAcentral lists this unclassified non-coding RNA (353 nucleotides) under soil metagenome. Its description in RNAcentral is "partial contains 5.8S ribosomal RNA, internal transcribed spacer 2, and large subunit ribosomal RNA". The stretch from base 1 to 120 matches the Rfam family "5.8S ribosomal RNA", at positions 35 to 154 of the family's 154-position model. The record is from RNAcentral.